Molecule: long non-coding RNA, 1282 nt
Organism: Micropterus salmoides (largemouth bass)
Lineage: Eukaryota; Metazoa; Chordata; Actinopteri; Centrarchiformes; Centrarchidae
Exons: 3
Source: RefSeq, a predicted model, not a curated record
UGUUAUGACUUUAAUUGUAAAAACACAAACUAUCCAAAAAUAGCAACAGCUGUCAUUUUAAUUUCUGAAAUAAGAGGAGAGUUUCCUCCACAAAAUUAAGCUAGGUGGAGAAAGAUGAAGAGGAGUUCUGCCAAGAAACAAACUAAAUAACCACCGAAGGGGCCUGCAUGACAUGGAUAAUGGACUUAAUCUCAAAAUAAAAGAAAAUGGACCUCGACGUCAAAUAACGCUAAUCCUGGAACAGGGAGCCUGGUGGAAACAAAGGAGUUGGAGCAGACAAAUGAGGCAGCCCAUGGCGUAUGACAGUCCCAGAGAAAAAUGAUCAAAUUUCCCAGCUCUCCCUCUGGUACAGCCUGUCCAGUCCAGACUCCUCCUCCUCCUCCGAGCCUCACCGCUUGCUAGCCAUAUUCCAUGACCAUAGUGAAACAAGAGGAAACACGUCAGAAAAGAGAGGAGGGAGUGUUGUUUUUUAUUCUCUUCACUGGUUUUCAUGAGAGCCAGAUGGAACAAUUAAUCCCCAAUCAACACAGGAAUAUUAAGUAGCCUUAACUCCUGCAUGAGGGACUUUACCAUCCUUGUUGUGUCCCCAUGGCUAAUGUCUAUCCAGCUAAACACACUGCUUCAGUUAGCUGUGUGGAUCUGUUGUCCUAUCUGACAGAUGGGAAGGGUUUCUAUAAGCCUGGCUGCAGCUUCUUAGAAAUUCUUCAGCUAUUCCAACACUGAAGAUCUGCCUCCAGCACAGAUCUUGAGCUUUACUCUCUGCAAAGUGCAUUAUCAACUCGCAUGCCUAAAGAUGCUGAAGGUUUGAGGACAAGCAAGAAAGAACAAACACGCAGCAGCUUAGCUCGCAUCCUCAGGCAUCUCCUCCGUCAGUGCUUUUGUCUCAUCGACUGCUGCCUCCCAUCAAUAUAUCCAAAGGCAGAGGGUAGAAUGUGGUGACAGUGGUACUAAAAUGGGACCAGUUUAUCUGUUAAGAUGUCAGCUUCAGCCACAUCUGAUGCUGCUUCUGCUGAGGGACCACUUCUAUGGGAGGUACAGACACUGCCGACAGCUUGCAAGGGAUUACUGAUAGACGUGAUUGAUGGAUUUCUUCUGCAAGGAGAAACGGCAGCCUCAGGCAGUCAAUGCUGAUAGUCCAUUAGCUUUUUUAUGCCUUCGAAUUAACUGCAUACAUUGCUUUAUGGCUUGCAUGUAGCACUUUGAAUCUUAAUUAAAUGUUUUUGUUUUCAGUUUUAUAGAGUUUAUGCUGCGCACAAGGAUAAAGUGUUUGUCUUCACUCAUA